UUUUUCAAAAAAUCACACAUGAAUCAAGGUCGUAACUUCUGUUUUAAUAUAUAAAAAUUAUUACUUUGAAUAUACGGCAAAUCUCCAAAAUAGCACCUUUUUAAGUUUAUGUCACAAAAAUAGCUCUCAAAAACUAAAAUGACAAAAAUAGCCUUUUAUCUUUUGAAAAAUUUAAUUUUUUUUAUUUUUAAAAUUUGAAAUCUUAUCUCGAAACCCCAUUCCCCAACUCUAAACCCUAAAACAUAAAUCCUAAACCCUAAACUAUAAACCCUAAAUCCUAAACCCCACUCUUUAACCCUAAACUCUAAACCCUAAACUCUAAACCCUAAACCCUAAACCCUAAAUCCUAAACCUCACCCCUUAACUCUAAACCCUAAUGUCUAAAUUAAUUUACCAUUGGGGUAUAAGUGUAUAUUUAUCUCUUUUGAUAAAACAUUAAAUGCUAUUUUGGUCAUUUUUAUUUUUACGGGCUAUAUUUGUGACAAAAACUUUUUUAGUGUUAUCCUACUCAUUUUCUCUUGAAUAUAUUGUUAAUAUCAUCUUGAACUAUAUCAUAUAAUAACGUUAAUACAAGAUAGAUUAUGCUAAAAGAUAUUACAGAAGUCAAUCUCACACUCGUUUUUCAUAGAUGUUACGUGGUCAAUUUGUCACUAAACCGUAAUCAUGCAUGUUGGUGCCCACGACAAAAAGUGCAAGACUUGAGAUUUAAGGAUUGCAUGAGUUAGGUUCCAUUUUCCAAUCACGGACCUAACUUAACAGUAUGACAUUCCUCUUAACCUUUCAUUUGCAGUUCUAUCACGUAUACUUGCAUAACAUUAUCCCACUUUUUUUUUUUGAAAUUUAAUAUUAUCCCACUUAAUUAUGAAAAGUUACCAAUAUAAUACAAUAAAACAACAUUAUAAACAGUUUGUCGACCACUUUCUCUGAAGUAGAUGACUCACCAAGAAACAUUGAAGAUUGAUGAUGAAUUGUUAGGCUAACAACCGCUUUACUUGGUUAAGUUUUUCAAACCUUUUUUUUGUAAAAAGAGUGCGACGAAUCCCUUGAAGAGGACGUAACUCCAAAGUGUACAGAGCUAUAUAUACUCUAAAGGAUUAUUAAUCAAUUCCUAAUACUUUAUUUUUCUUUGUAGUAAACUAAACAUUCACUUAGUUCGUAACUUCUUAUGUAGCGAGUAUCAUUCACUAACUUGGUUUUUGUGAUCCAUUGGCUAUGAUUGGUUUUAAUGUGAACGUUAAUAUUUACGUGUUCUUUGUCAAAAAAAUAAAUAUAUAUUUACGUGUGCAUUAAAAUUUUAAACAAUUAUUUAUAAAUCUUAAAUCGGAAACUUUUUCAGAUCUUAGAAAAUUAUAUCUAGUCUUCAUUUUUUUGAACGAAACUAUUACCUUGUUUUUAACACUGAAAUACUUCAUUAAUUAAUCUAGGGACCAGAGGUCAAAGUUAGGGGAGUAAAACCGCAACGAACCGUAGAAAAUUUAUUUUACUACCAUAGGACAACUGAUAUUUGUAAAGAAUAAUAAGAACAUAAAUUAAAAUUACAAUACCGAACUAUAAAACUAAAGAAGAAUUGCAGAGUCGAGAUGAUUAAUCUCUUUCUUUAAAUCUUUAAACACCCCGUAGUGUGACGGUUUCAUAGCGCUCAGAUUUCCAGGAUACAACUGCAGCACUGUUUCUGUUUACUUUCACCGAAAAACAGAAUCUAUCGAACCUAAUUUUGUGAUGUACUCUCAGACUCAAAAUAAAAAAAAAUACUAACAUAACUAUUCAAAGUAGGAGAAAGUGAUUUGUUGUUAAAACUCUAUUUUUUCUAUAAUGCUUACAAGCCCUUUUAUAGAAAAAUAAUGAGAAGCACAAAUUCAUUCUUCAACACAAAAAUGAAACCUUCAUGGUGCACUAAUAGAGACUUUAAUUCUUGUCAAUUAGUAUGUGAAUUUAUUCCACAUUUUGACCAAGAAAUUAAAGAAUAAAAUUAUUAUUGUUUUGACCAAUUCAAACAAAAUAAUAUAAUUUAAAAUUAAUUUCUUUUUUUAUAUUUUAUCAAUAUAAAAGAUCAACAUAUAUUUGAUUUAAGUUAAUGAACAUGAAUUCCAACUAACAAAUCAAAACUCAAAUUCAAGUUUAAAUAUCCAAUGAGUAUAUUUGCUACUUUGUACAAUUUUCUCAAAUCACACACAUUAGAUCUCCAUUUCUCAUUCAAAUAAAACUUUAUUUUUGACAUAUGAAUACAUUAUUCAUAAUGUUCAAAAAAUAGUUCCAACAAGAACAGCAGAAAAGCCAGUACCAGUAGGCACCAGAAACAAAAUGAACAAAGGAUUAAGCACAACAGAGGCUCUCCUGACAGAAGCAGAGAAAACAAUAUAAAUGAGACAGAAAUGACCACAGACAAGUUAAACGGUUCUUGCCUCUAACUUGUGAUUUAUUUUGUAAAAUAAAAAUUGUAUAUAUUUUUUUGGUAAAAAAAACUGUAUACAUUAUACCUCUUAAAUAUUAAGUUCUUUACACAAAGAAAAUCCCCUCAAUAUGAAACUUCUUCUCACACAUAGAAAUUCAGGGAAAUCAAGGAAAUCACUAUGAAACUUCUUCUCACACUUAGAAAUUAAUGAAUGAUUAGCAAAGGAUGAUUAUAUAAUGGAAGUAAGUAUAUAUCGUGAAAAUGUGGUGUGAGGGAACAUGAAGGACACCCGGAAAAUUACAAAUAUGCAUGAGCGGGAAGUUUAAUCAGAAAGUAGUUUGGUGAAUGAGAUAAUUAAGCUCUAUACCAACUGUUUUUUUCAUUGUCGGGCAACAUUAAUUACCAACGCAACACUUUGAAUUGCUUAUCAAUCUGAAAUUGAGAAACGUGUAUAGUGGCUAGGGAGCAACCGCGUCACAAAUACACGGUUCAAGUUUUGGAUUCAUGAAGUUGUUGAAAGUAGAUAUAAAUUUACUACUACCAAAACAUCUACUGAUUUUGUAAAGUUAAUUUCUGUGUUUUCACUCCCAUACUGAUAAGAACACUGUGAUAUGUUACUAAUUCUAAACUUUUACUGUUAGAUCCGCUUAAAUCUAAUUGAAGAAGUUGAUAACUAAAUGGUAAUUUUAAAAAGAAUAAUUGCACCUCGUAUUUUUUCAGAAUCUUGGUAUGAGGAAUGUAUCAUAUAUAUAAAAAUAAUAAAAACUUAGGUUGUUGAUUAGUAUAUGAAGUUUAAAUUCUCUAUGAUGAAAUUUUACAGACAAUCAAAAAAAUAAAAUACAAAUACUUACAAAAAUAACAAAUACUUUCAUAUGUCGAGUUCACUUACACUUGCAAGUUUACGGAGACAUUUGCACUUAUUACUAUAUUGAAUUAAUAAUGAAAACAUGAAGAAAUCCUUAAUUAAAGCUUGUUGCUGAUGCAGCAGCAGACGCCACUUAGGAAAGCUACUAAUGUCCAAACUUGUAUCUAUGUUCGCUUCGUCCUUCACUCUCUAUAAAUUCACUUAGUCUCUUCUCACUUUCACUCAUCAAGUAAUACUUUUAUUUCACUUCUUUAAAAUUUAGAGUCCAUUUAUAAGUUGUGCCAAAAAGAAAAGAGUUAUUCCUUUUAUACAUUGUUCUUACAACUACUAUAUAUCUAAUAUUAUACUUAUUAUUUAAUUAUUCUCCUAAACAUGUGUACUGGAAAAUCAUCACACACAAAAUCCUCACCCAAGGUUAUUCAAUAAUUGCUACUUUUCACACCAAAUUCAAUUACUAGUUACUUUCGUGCACGUAUGUGUAUACGCAUUGCAUGUAAAUAUGUUUGCAGGCAUAUAGAAAAUAGGGUACCUGUGUUUUUUUUUUUUUUGUAAACACAGGGCACCUGUGUUUAUAUGUACAUUAACUAAGUCAAAGAGAUUUAAACUGACAAAAUUUUCUCCUUAUUUUUAAAAGUUAGGGAAAAUAAGUCCAGCUUCUUCUGUACUGUCCCUGGGUUCCGACAGUAAAGGAAUGGUGAGAUGAAGAUUCUUUCGUUUUAUUUUCUUGUGGGGCAUUAAUGUUUCUUGUAUAUAUAGUUUUAACCAUUACUUCUUUUAAUCAAAUUUUCAAUCUUUUUGUGGGUGCAAAACUAAUUUUGGUAAAGGAAAACACUUGCUUGAAGACUCUAACUUGUUUGUAUAUGUUUGGACUAAAAAGGUCACUUGAUGGACAUUGAGUUUCUGCUUUGCAAAGGUCGUUUAGCAACAAGAUAAUAAAUCGACCAGUACCCAUAGUUUUUAUUAUUAAAAUAAAUAUAAAUUAAUUAAUAUUCAAAUGAUGAAAUAACUAUAACUUUUCUGCCAAUAUCAGUAUAAUUAAGUUACAGUUUGAAUGUUCUUGAUAGAAAUAUUACUAAUGAAAUCGGCAUUUUCUAGGAAUAUCCGUAUAAUCUGUCUUUCACAAUCUCACUUCAUGAAAAGUUUCACAAGGUUGAGUUUUUUGGGUGUGUGUGGUGUGGACGUGUAGUCAAUCUGGAAAGGUUCCAUUUCUAUAACAAACUGAUUAACUAGUAUUGCUUGUUGAGUUCUACUCUAGGUAUAUUACACGUUGGUUAUGCAAAAAGGAGUAAAUAGUAUCAAAAAUUUUUUCCUGAUGGACUUGUAUAAAUUUUUUUCCUGAUGGACUUAGGAUUCUUAAUUUCUUACAAGAACCUGACUAGUAAAAGUGUGUCACACGUUUAGUUAUACUGUAGGUAUAUAUUAUGUCUCGACUGAAAGUUGUAAAACAAUAGUUUUAUUUGAAUGCACUUAAUACUAUAUUGAUCAAUGUGAAUCCUCAUAUAUAACAAUUCAAUUUCUUCAACUAUUCACUGAAAAUUCUAUUGUAGAACAAAGUGGAACUCAAAGAUAGAGCGCAUGGCAAAACCAAGGCAGCCGCUGCUAAGGUAUCCAUAUAGAGAUUCUAUGAUCAACUAUGAAUUCUUAAAAAAAAAAAAAAUAUGGUAACUAUUAUCCAGUUUCCACUUUCCACAAUAUAACUCAUAAAAGAGAAAAGGUGUAUGUUACACGAAAAAUAUUCUACUCAAGAAAAUAUACAAGUUACAACUCUCAUCUACGUACUCGUUUUACUACGGUUUAUGUCACUAUAACUGUUAUAGAUAUGCAUUAUGUGUUUAUAUGCAGCAUUAACACCAACGGUCUCAAAUGAUUUGAGAUUUGUAGACACACUUUUAUUAGUCAGGUUCUUAUAAGAAAUUAAGAAUCCUACAAUAUUAAAUAUUUUGAAAUUAGUUAUAGAAACAUAUGUUUUUUUUAUUUCUAUAUCGGCACUCCCUCAAAUUAUCCAAUAUUGCGCAGGCUAAAAUACCGUUUUACGUGAACAUAUUUACUGUACGACUAGUUAACAACUUAACAUGCAUGUAACUAAUGUUUUCCAAUCAAUCAGAAUGUUGCAAAGGCACCAGCAAAAGAGAACAAAAAGCCUCUUGAGUUCAAGCUUCACUCUGGCGAGAGAGCAGUGAAACGUGCCAUGUUCAACUACACGGUUUACACGAUCAUCCUUAAUAUUGUUUAAUUAAUUUUGCUUUUCAAUUUCCAUGUAGCUCAUUCCUCGUAUUCUCAGGUUGCAACAAAUUAUUAUAUCACAAAACUACAGAAGAAACAAGAGGAGAGGUUGCAAAAGGUAAUCUACAAAACAAAACAAAAUGCUUACUUAGCAUCUUGUUAGAGAAAAACCUUAGCCAAUUCAAACAAAGAAAAUAGUACUCUGACCUGUAUCCUACUAACACGGUACCGUACUUUUAUAUGACCAUGAAACUGAAGAUUUAAUUAAUUUCUUGGUGUAAGGUCUAAAACGGAAUUUUGGUUUGAUAUGAGUCCUGUGAACACACCUUCGACCGUACAUAGAUAUAUAACCGGAACUUCUUAAACUAAAAGAGUAGUGUACUUGGAAUCGGUUUAAGAAGAAUUCUCAAAAAUAAACCUUUUUAUUAAACCGAACCGUGGAACAGAUGAUAGAAGAGGAAGAGAUUCGUACGCUACGGAAGGAAAUGGUUCCAAAAGCUCAACUGAUGCCUUUCUUCGAUAGACCGUUCCUCCCACAGAGGUUAGUUUGGUCCUAAAGCGACUUUAAUAAUGCAAAAAAAAAAGAGUAGUAUUAAAUGAUUCAAAUGGUUAUUAAUUAUGAAUCUAAAUAUUUCUUUUUCUUUUCAAAUCAAUGUUUUGGGUGUAGAUCGAGCAGACCAUUGACGAUGCCAAAGGAACCAAGCUUUGGAAAUGUAAACAGUACUUGUUGGACUUGUGUCUUCAACAACCAACACUAUCUCUACCAUAUUCAUCAUGCUCAUGCUUAAAUCUUGAGAGCCACUAGCUCAGUUAGAGGCUUUUGCUAAUUUUCAUUUCAAAUCUUCCUUUUCCAAACUAUCUUUUUGUUAAUCUUGGUAAGUUUAUGUCUCUUUUCUUUGGUCCUUUCCUCUUCUCACUUUUUCGUAGAUUUAAAUAAAUGACUGAUUUCAAUUGAUCUCAUUUCCACGUUGAUAUACUUCCUCCGUUUCAAAAUGUAAGUAGUUUAGACUAAAAACACUAAUAUUAAGAAAAUUGGUAUUUUAAGAAAAAUAAUAUUUAAUUAAUUAGUUUAACCAAUUAUAAAAAAUUAAUAUUAUUUGAUUGGUUACACUAUAUCCAAUAAAUGUAAAAGUUAUUUAGAUAUUUAGAAACUACUUAUAUUUUGAAACAAACGGAGGGAGUAUAAGAUAGUCAGUCUUGUCAUUAAUACUUUAUCUCAACAUGCCCAUUGGAGAUACAAACGUUUGCUUGUUUUUCUAUAUCUCCUCGUAAUAGUCUGGUAUCGUCAAUGGUUGAAAAACAUGAAUCACUAAAAGUCUACAACUUAGAAAUGAUACUUGAUUGAUGUUUAAGAAUUUGCACAAACUAAUAAAAGUUAAAUAUAUAUUUUUACCUUUUAACUUUUAGUUUUUUUUAAAGUUUUGUUUGUUUCUCAAUAAAGUUAAACCAUUCGUAUUUUUAGACUUUGAUUUAUGUUUCUAGCAAAAUGCAUUAACUAAAAUCGAAAACAUUAGUCUUUCAAAUACAAAAACAAAAGAUAAGACAUGAGGGGGGGGGUUGUUAACAUGUAUCCUCUUUUUUGUCUUUUUACAUUUUAGAUUCUUAUUCUUUUAGAUUAUUGGAAUUUGGUUCACUAUUUUCUAAUUAUGCACUAUCUAAUCAUUCUCACGAUAACCAUCAUCAUUUGAAGUUUGAUAAUCUAUUUUUUGUUCAAAAAAUUGCAAAACGAAUAAAGAAAUAAGUAAAAAAUAUAAAUGUAUUUUAAAUAUUUAAUUGAUUCACAUCUAAAAAUAACAUAAACUUUCGCUAUUUUAUUAUUUUUUACUAUUUUCUAUUAUUUCAUUUACAAUUAUAUAUUUAUCUUAAUAUUAACCAAACUAAAGCAGAACACAUAAUCUAAACAGAAAACCUCCAUAAUCACAAAGAAAAAAAAUACCAAAGUAACUCUAACUCAAUAAAGGUCCAGAGCUCAAAGGCGAUCAAGAACGAAAACUAACUUACCCCACAUUAUCGUACAGUGUCUUGGCAAGAACAAUCAAAGUCAGAAAAAUGUAGAAAGAUAAUCUUGAGAUAAAGAAAUCCCUCGAAUACAGAGGAGUGUGAUCAAAGACCAAUGCAAAGAACCAAGAAAGCGACUUAGAGGAAGAAUAAUCAACAGAAGGCCAAAAUCACCACGAAGCAGGAAUAUACAUACAUAACUAACGAUAAGCACAACCACCGGCUAAGAGGUAAAAAGCACUUCACAAACUAAACAUGCACAAACAAGACGCCUAUGCCGGUGAAGAACCACAAAGCUCUGGAUAGAAGAGACCAAAUCUCCAAGAGACUAAUACCGCACACUUAUACUAAAAGAAGCAAGGGAAGAAGAGAACAACCUGAGUGAGGGAGAACGGAAGCCAUCCCCCGAGAAACCAGAGACCAGAAUUGAGACCAGAAACAAUCUUCCAAAUCUACAGAGCAUACUCGGAGGAGAACAAUAUCCAAACCUGGAGUGGUAAACAUGGCGAAUGAGAGAGUCACAGAGAUGCAAGCAGCGAUGAAAGCUGCAACGAGAUGAGGGAACAUAGAUGGAAGGGUAGACAAAACGAAAUUCAUCAAAUCGUGGAGCCGUACUCGAGCUAUAGAAUUUAUAUCACCAAAAACCAUAUCUUGAAAACCAAGACGAGAAGGAACUAUCGAUGGUAAGCUAACGACGAGGAAAACAACUUCAAAGACGACUAAACUCUUACCCAACCUAAGGAGAUGCAGUUCCUAACAUGAGCCGAAAUCUAAGAAAGAAGUGGAGAAAAAAGUGAGGAUGAACAAAAGCACAUAUGUGAGUCUUUUUCGGUGAUGAUGAGAAUCACAUCACACCGGAAAGGUAAACUAAAUGCAUAGAUGGUGACGGCUCAAUGUAAAAAUAUAGGGAGGGAACACAAAACAUCUUAAAAAAGUAAUGUUCAAAUUAUUAGAAAAAAAUAUUAAUUUUACCCAGAAACUAUUAGCCUUAGAAUCAAAAAAUGCCUAAAUGUAGAAUUAUUGAAAUUCAAUAUGCAUUACAUCACAAACUCACUCCACCACUAAUAAGUAUUAUUAUACCCACAACAACACACAAUUAAAAAAACAAACACAUAAUAUAUUAGCAUAUCACUUAUUACUACAUAACAUAAUAAAAAUACCAAAUAAUACUCUUAGCAAAUAAAGACGAUCACAUAAUUAGUUAACUAUAUCAUCCAAAAAAUAAUAAUUAACAACAAUAAAACAAUAUUCCACGCGAAUAUGCCCCUAGUUUUGUACACAGAAGAAGUAUGAGUAAUUAAUUAUAGUUGAAAUGAUUUACUGUUUGAAAUACAAAAAAUUGGAUGUUUCAGAUAUUUAAAUCAAUCAUGCUAAAAUCAUCUCGCUCACGCGCUGACAAGAACUUGAAGUUUGCCUAAAACAAUUUCCAAAAAAAUCACUUCCUAUUUUGUACAAAAAUGUUGUUUUAUGAAUGUUUACACUACUGACAAAAAAAAUGUUUACACUUAUUAAAAAAUAAUGUUCAUUCAUAAAUGUAUAAAUUUGUUUAUUGAAUAUAUACAUUUUAUUACUAUUAACAGAUGAAUAUACAUUAAAACUUAAAAGAGAAAAUGAUUAGGAUAGCACAAAAAAAGUUUUUGUCACAAAUAUAGCCUCUAGGGAGGGGGGGGGGGGAGAUUUGUUAACAUGUAUCCUCUUUUUUGUCUUUUUACAUUUUAGAUUCUUAUUCUUUUAGAUUAUUGGAAUUUGGUUCACUAUUUUCUAAUUAUGCACUAUCUAAUCCUUCUCACGAUAACCAUCAUCAUUUGAAGUUUGAUAAUCUAUUUUUUGUUCAAAAAAUUGCAAAACGAAUAAAGAAAUAAGUAAAAAAGUAUAAAUGUAUUUUAAAUAUUUAAUUGAUUCACAUCUAAAAAUAACAUAAACUUUAGCUAUUUUAUUAUUUUUUACUAUUUUCUAUUAUUUCAUUUACAAUUAUAUAUUUAUCUUAAUAUUAGCCAAACUAAAGCAGAACACAUAAUCUAAACAGAAAACCUCCAUAAUCACAAAAAAAAAAUGCCAAAGUAACUCUAACUCAAUAAAGGUCCAAAGCUCAAAGGCGAUCAAGAACAAAAACUAACUUACCCCACAUUAUCGUACAGUGUCUUGGCAAGAACAAUCAAAGUCAGAAAAAUGUAGAAAGAUAAUCUUGAGAUAAAGAAAUCCCUCGAAUACAGAGGAGUGUGAUCAAAGACCAAUGCAAAGAACCAAGAAAGCGACUUAGAGGAAGAAUAAUCAACAGAAGGCCAAAAUCACCACGAAGCAGGAAUAUACAUACAUAACAAACGAUAAGCACAACCACCAGCUAAGAGGUAAAAAACACCUCACAAACUAAACAUGCACAAACAAGACGCCUAUGCCGGUGAAGAACCACGUAUAAAUGUAUUUUAAAUAUUUAAUUGAUUCACAUCUAAAAAUAACAUAAACUUUAGCUAUUUUAUUAUUUUUUACUAUUUUCUAUUAUUUCAUUUACAAUUAUAUAUUUAUCUUAAUAUUAACCAAACUAAAGCAGAACACAUAAUCUAAACAGAAAACCUCCAUAAUCACAAAGAAAAAAAAUACCAAAGUAACUCUAACUCAAUAAAGGUCCAGAGCUCAAAGGCGAUCAAGAACGAAAACUAACUUACCCCACAUUAUCGUACAGUGUCUUGGCAAGAACAAUCAAAGUCAGAAAAAUGUAGAAAGAUAAUCUUGAGAUAAAGAAAUCCCUCGAAUACAGAGGAGUGUGAUCAAAGACCAAUGCAAAGAACCAAGAAAGCGACUUAGAGGAAGAAUAAUCAACAGAAGGCCAAAAUCACCACGAAGCAGGAAUAUACAUACAUAACAAACGAUAAGCACAACCACCAGCUAAGAGGUAAAAAACACCUCACAAACUAAACAUGCACAAACAAGACGCCUAUGCCGGUGAAGAACCACAAAGCUCUGGAUAGAAGAGACCAAUCUCCAAGAGACUAAUACCGCACACUUAUACUAAAAGAAGCAAGGGAAGAAGAGAACAACCUGAGUGAGGGAGAACGGAAGCCAUCCCCCGAGAAACCAGAGACCAGACUUGAAACCAGAAACAAUCUUCCAAAUCUACAGAGCAUACUCGGAGGAGAACAAUAUCCAAACCUGGAGUGGUAAACAUGGCGAAUGAGAGAGUCACAGAGAUGCAAGCAGCGAUGAAAGCUGCAACGAGAUGAGGGAACAUAGAUGGAAGGGUAGACAAAACGAAAUUCAUCAAAUCGUAAAACACCUCACAAACUAAACAUGCACAAACAAGACGCCUAUGCCGGUGAAGAACCACAAAGCUCUGGAUAGAAGAGACCAAUCUCCAAGAGACUAAUACCGCACACUUAUACUAAAAGAAGCAAGGGAAGAAGAGAACAACCUGAGUGAGGGAGAACGGAAGCCAUCCCCCGAGAAACCAGAGACCAGACUUGAAACCAGAAACAAUCUUCCAAAUCUACAGAGCAUACUCGGAGGAGAACAAUAUCCAAACCUGGAGUGGUAAACAUGGCGAAUGAGAGAGUCACAGAGAUGCAAGCAGCGAUGAAAGCUGCAACGAGAUGAGGGAACAUAGAUGGAAGGGUAGACAAAACGAAAUUCAUCAAAUCGUGGAGCCGUACUCGAGCUAUAGAAUUUAUAUCACCAAAAACCAUAUCUUAAAACCUAGACGAGAAGGGACUAUCGAUGGUAAGCUAACGACGAGGAAAACAACUUCAAAGACGACUAAACUCUGACCCAACCUAAGGAGAUACAGUUCCUAACAUGAGCCGAAAUCUAAGAAAGAAGUCGAAAAAAAAGUGAGGAUGAACAAAAGCACAUAUGUGAGUCUUUUUCGGUGAUGGUGAAGAUGGUGAGAAUCACAUCACACCGGAAAGGUAAACGAAAUGCAUAUAUGGUGACGGCUCAAUGUAAAAAUAUAGGGAGAGAGCACAAAACAUUUUUAAAAAGUAAUGUUCAAAUAAUUGGAAAAAAUAUUAAUUUUACCCAGAAACUAUUAGCCUUAGAAUCAACAAAUGCCUAAAUGUAGAAUUAUUGAAAUUCAAUAUGCAUUACAUCACAAACACACUCCACCACUAAUAAGUAUUAUUAUACCCACAACAACACACUAUUAAAAAAACAAACACAUAAUAUAUUAGCAUAUCACUUAUUACUACAUAACAUAAUAAAAAUUCCAAAUAAUACUCUUAGCAAAUAAAGACGAUCACAUAAUUAGUUAACUAUAUCAUCCAAAAAAUAAUAAUUAACAACAAUAAAACAAUAUUCCGCGCGGACACGCCCCUAGUUUUGUACACAGAAGAAGUAUGAGUAAUUAAUUCUAGUUGAAAUGAUUUAAUGUUUGAAAUACAAAAAAUUGGAUGUUUUAGAUAUUUAAAUCAAUCAUGCUAAAAUCAUCUCGCUCACGCGCUGACAAGAACUUGAAGUUUGCCUAAAACAAUUUCCAAAAAAAAUCACUUCCUAUUUUGUACAAAAAUGUUGUUUUAAGAUUGUUUACACUACUGACAAAAAAAAAAUGUUUACACUUAUUAAAAAUUAAUGUUCAUUCAUAAAUGUAUAAAUUUGUUUAUUGAAUAUAUACAUUUUAUUACUAUUAACAGAUGAAUAUACAUUAAAACUUAAAAGAGAAAAUGACUAGUAUAGCACUAAAAUUUUUUUUGUCACAAAUAUAGCCUAUAAGAAUAAAAAUGACCAAAAUAACACUUAAUGUUUUAUCAAAAGAGAUAAAUAUACAUUUAUACGCCAAUGGUAAAUUAAUUUAGAAAUUAGGGUUUAGAGUUAAGGGGUGGGGUUUAGGAUUUAGGAUUUAGGGUUUAGGGUUUAGAGUUUAGGAUUUAGGGUUUAGGGUUUAGGGUUUAGGUUUUAGAGGUUAGAGUUUAGGGUUUAGAGUUUAGGGUUUAGGAUUUUGGGUUUAGGGUUUAGAGUUUAGGGUUUAGAGUUUAGAGUUUGGGUUUUAGGGUUUAGAGUUUAGGUAGAGUUGAGAAGUGGGGUUUUGGGAUAAGAUUUCAAAUUUUGAAAAAUAAAAAAAAUUAAAUUUUUCAAAAGAUAAAAAUCUAUUUUGGUCAUUUUAGUUUUUAAGAACUAUUUUUGUGACAUAAACUUAGAAAUACGCUAUUUUGAAGAUUUGCCCAACUUAAAAUUUAUGUUUAAGAAAGAGUUAAAAAAACCCAUCACAACGAAACACAGGGAAUCGAGACUCAUGAUAGGUUAAUAGACACUAUGCACAAGAGUUUGCAAAUUCAAAUCCAUUUUUUUACAUUUUAACACUUUGGAUCAUCUUUUCUUUCUUCUACCUAAUUAUUCAAUACUAAAUUUACUUUUAUAUCUUACAAUAAUUUUGUAUAAUAAAUUCAACACCCUAUCCCACCAUACCUCACUAUUUUAAUUUCAUAUUUUUAUUUUUAUAUACUUACAUAGUUACAUAUUAAUAAUAUUAAUAAAAAUUGAAUAUAUACUAAAAUAACUAAGAUUUAAAUAAAAUUUAACAAUUAAUUGGUUUUUGUUUAAUAUUUAUUCGUGUAUUAAAAAUAAUUAAUUGGUUUUUGUUUAAUAUUUAUUCAUGUAUUAAAAAUCAAACUAAAUUUUAUUAAAAUAUAGUAAAAUGAUUUUAUUUUUUGUAACCAAAUAAAAUUAGAAGAAAGUUUCUCUUUAUAUAAUAUAAAAUAUAAUAAAUUUUGAUGUAGAAAUAAAUAAAAAUAAAUGAAUUGACUUUAUAAAAAUCAACCACAAAUAAUUAGGACAAAAAAAAUAUCAAAUAUAUUAAUGGGACAUUUGGUUCUAUAACAAAAAAAAAUCACCAAAUGACUAUAUCAAGCUAUAGGCUAUGAUAUACUUUCUAUAUUAUAUCUCUUUUAUUUUAUCCUUACUCUUUUUUUUUUCUAUUCUCUCGUCUCGAGCGUUUCUAAUGAUAUAAAGAUGAAUUUUAUAUUACGCUUCUCACACACGCACACUCUUAGUAUUUUACAUAUUUAAACAUAGUUUUUUUCUACACAUAACAUGAUUUGAAACUUUCAAAACAAACAUAUACUUUUUAUUAGAUUUUAUACAAUAUUUCAUAAAUUUGAUUUUAAAUCUAUAUAAUUUUACACAUGCAUAUGGUAUAGUUAGAUUUUACUGUUCAAAAGAGAAACAAUAAUAUUAUGUUAUAUUCUAUUUAAAAACAUAAAAUGGAAUGUACUCUCCGUUUUUCUCCCUGUUUAGAUUUGUUCUACGUGUACACAGAAAAUAGAAUAAUACGUGGACGAAUUUAAGUAUAAUCACACACUCAAGGAGAGAUUAGUUGUUUAGUAGGAAAUACAUUUAUUUUAAAAUUUUAUACUGAAAUUUUAUCAUUUUGUGGUUCAUAAAUAAAAACGUAUUCAUUUAUUCUGGACACUGAAAACGUUUUUACUAUAAUUUUCAUUAUUUUCUGUUAAGCUCUUGUUUAUAUAUCCAAACAUAUUUUAGUGAAACAAAUAAAAACAAUAAACUUUUUACACCCACACUUUAUCGUUCAGCUCUAACAUGUAAUGAAAAUGUUUCAAAUGUUGGAGAAAUCUAGUUUCAUGAAUUUCUACACAAAUGGAAAUAUGGAACAUCCAUCGUUGCUGGAAGAAAGAAAAAUCAUAUUAUGAAAAAAAAAAACUCUGAAUAUUGUGAUGAACAUUGCUCAUUUGAUCAUUUUGUGAUGGAACUUCAUGCAACAUUACAAUUACAUGAAAAAAUAUUGGGUAAAAAAAUCGGCGCUUACGAUAACACUAAAAGUAUGCAAAAAGCGGAUGUCAGAGAUUGAUGUGUUAGACUCUUAAAGUAGUGGUUCUAAGAUCAUCUUCGAAAAUGAACUCUAUUUUGAAGUUUUCAAAACACUAUAUUUGAAGUUUAAAGGUGUUCUUUUCCAAAAUAAAAACUUCAAACUCAACUUUAAAACUAUUUAUAUUUUAUAAUAUGGUCAUUAUAUUUGUCAUAACUAAUUUGAAUUCAUAAAACUUUUGUAAACAACUAGCACAUAUAUAAACAUAUUACAACAAUAUUAAUUAAUAAAAUAUUUUAUGAAAAUAUAAAAAUUAAAAAAAAAAUAAUUUAAUUAAUAUUAAACUUCAAACAUAAUACCAUAUUAUUUUAUAAAAUGAUUUCUGUAAUUCAUAUAUGAUCUAUUAGUGCGUUUCGAAGUAAAAAUGGCUCUCCUCAUUUUUACUUUGUAGAUUACGAACUAAAAUUUCUUGAAAUCGGAUAAUAUUGAUACUUGUAAAUACAUUAGACCGGAACAAGAAAGUAAAAGAGAAACAUCAAAUAUUGCUAAAAGACUAAUUUCUUUUGAUUAUAUUAAUACUCGUGAAUAUAUUCGAUAUGAACAAGAAUGAAUUGUACGAAAAAAGACAUCAAAAACAACAACAACAACCAUCUUCAGUUACACACAAAAAUUUGGACAAUAUUUGAAAAUUUUGAAGGUUCAUGAUCAAACUUACCUGACUAUUAGUGUUGUUGUAAUAUUUAAAUUUGUGUAAUAUUUAUGUCUUCAUGUAAUUUUUUAAAAUCUUUUUCUUAAGUUUUGUUUUGUAUAUUAUUGUUGUCUAAAUCUAGCUUAAAAUAUUUUCAAUCUUAAUUUAAAGUUUCAUUUAAUUUUAUGUGUAAAAUUUAAAAUCUUUAAACAAAAUUUAAAAUUUUUAUGAGAUAUAAUUUUUUUAAGGAUUAAAACAAUAAACGAGAAAAUAUUUAUGAAUCAUAAAAGUGAUGUGUGAUUGUAGGGACCAAAAUGCAAAUAAAAAUAUGAAACUUCACAUUUGAAGUUUUUGAAGAGUGAAACUCCAAAUAUAGAGUUUCACUUUUCAAAACUUCAAAUUUGAAGUUUCAUCUUUUCAUUUGCAAUUUAGUCCUUACAAUUAUACAUCAUAUUUAUAUUUCUUAAAUAUUGUUUUGUUUAACUUUUUAAUCCUUAUAACUUUUAUAUCUCAUAAAUAUUUCAAAUUUGUUUUAUAAAUUUAAGUUUUACACAUGAAAUUAAAUAAAAAAUUUAAAAUAAGAUUUAUAAUAUUUUAAAACUAAAAUUAAACAACAAGAAUAUUACAAAAAACCAUAAUAAAAACUUAUUAAAAAGACACAUGAAGAUCAAUGGCAGAAGCAACAGUUGAAAAGACGGAAAAUGAAGAUAUCCGAUUUCAGCAAUUUUUGGCUCGUAAUCUACUAAUAAAAAAUAAAGAGAAUCAUUUCUUACUUCGAAAUGUACUAGUUGAUCAUAUAUGGGAGCAUUACGGAAAUAAUUUUAUAAUAAUGUAAUAUUUGCUUGCAGUUUAAUAUUUCAUUAUGUACUUUUAUUUAUAAUUUUAUAUUUUAAUGUAUGAUUUUUUUAAUUAAUAUUUCUGUAAUAUAUAUAUAUAUAUAUAUAUGUGUAUUAGUUAUUUAUAGAAGUUUUAUGAAUUUACAUUAACUAUGACAAAUAUAAGGACUAUAGUGUAAAAUAUAAAUAAUUUUGAAGUUAGGUUUGAAAUUUUACUUUUGGAAAAUAACACAUUGAAACUUCAAAUAUAGAGUUUUGGAAACUUCAAAAUAGAGUUCAUUUUUGGAGAUGGUCUACGAGAGAAUGUGAGAGUGAGGCAAGUUCUUUCAACUUGCAAAAUUUAAUAUAUCUCGGGAGUGAUGCAACAAAAACAUUUGAAAUAAAAGUAAAUACACAACCUUGGAAACAUCCAAUAAAUAAUGAAAUAAUUCAAACAGUUGAAUGAGUUGGCGUCAAAAUCAAUCAAAGGCUAAAAUCACUUAAACAUGGAAAAACGUAUUGCCUACGUAACCGAGCCAAAAAUGUUGGAGAAUAAUUCCGCAACCAUAAAUCUGAAUAUACUUCAUAUAUUUAUUGAGAAUUCGGCCAAAAAAAACCUUAACUUUGCACGAAUUGCCAAAAGAAACAUAAACUUUUGGGCUGACCAAAAAAACACCAAACUUUCAUUGACUUUAGAAUUAAUUAACAAUGUUUUCGCUGACUUACCAAUUUAGCACGCCGUCAACAAAUUUAACAGAAAUAUUUGACGUCGUUUAUUGUUGGCGUUAAGUGAAACGACGUCGUUUUCAAAUGAUGUAAAACGACGUCGUUUUACAUGAUUUGAAAUUAAAAAUAUGUAGAACUCUGGAUUCGAAUCCAGGUUGGUUAGUCAAAUGGCAAUGUAUUUUACCACUAGACUACUGGCACUUUCAAUAUACUUAUUAACAUGUUUACUUUUAUUUGGUACAUAUUAAAUAUAAAAAAUUCUCUAAAAACUUAAUAAGAACUUUAAAAUUCCAAAAAAAAUUAAAGAACUAAAGAAGAGUUUUAUAAAAUUAAUUUAGAAAUUAAAACUAAAAAUAAAAUUUUAUUUUUCUUUUUAAAAAAUAAAAACUCUUCCAAAAUUUUCUAAAAACUUAAAAAGAUCUUUAAAAUUCCAAAAAAUUGAAAAAAUAAAGAAAUUUUUUAUAAAAUUAAUUUUGAAAUUAAAAUAGAAAAUAAAAUUUUAUUUUUUCUUUUCAAUUCGUGAAAAGUUCGUGUUUUUUUGAAAAGAAAAAAUAAAAUUUUAUUUUCUAUUUUAAUUUCAAAAUUAAUUUUAUAAAACAAAUUCUAUUUUAAUUUCAAAAUUAAUUUUAUAAAAAAUUUGGGGUAUCGAACUUAUGAUUAUGAGCUUGUUAAAAUUAAUUUUGAAAUUAAAAUAGAAAAUAAAAUUUUAUUUUUCUUUUCAAUUCGUGAAAAGUUCGUGUUUUUUUGAAAAGAAAAAAUAAAAUUUUAUUUUCUAUUUUAAUUUCAAAAUUAAUUUUAUAAAAAAUUUCUAUUUUAAUUUCAAAAUUAAUUUUAUAAAAAAUUUCUUUAUUUUUUCAUUUUUUUGGAAUUUUAAAGAUCUUUUUAAGUUUUUAGAAAAUUUUGGAAGAGUUUUUAUUUUUUAAAAAGAAAAAUAAAAUUUUAUUUUUAAUUUUUAUGCUCUAAAUUAAUUUUAUAAAAAUCUUCUUUAUUUUUUUAAUUUUUUUUGGAAUUUUAGAGAUCUUAUUAAGUUUUUAGAGAAUUUUUUAUAUUUAAUAUGUACCAAAUAAAAGUAAACAUGUUAGUAAGUACAUUGAAAGUGCAAGUAGCCUAGUGGAAAAAUACAUUGCCAUUUGACCAACCAACUUGGGUUCAAAUCCACGGGUCUACAUAUUUUUAAUUUCAAAUCAUGUAAAUCAUUUGAAAACGACGUCGUUUCACUUAACGCCAACAAUAAACGAUGUCAAAUAUUUCUGUUAAAUUUGUUGACGGCGUGCUAAAUUGGCAAGUCAGUGAAAACAUUGUUAAUUAAUUCUAAAGUCAAUGAAAGUUUGGUGUUUUUUUGGUCAGCCCAAAAGUUUAUGUUUCUUUUUGCAAUUCGUGCAAGGUUGAGGUUUUUUUUGGCCGAAUUCUCUAUAUCUAUUCCCAAAAAGUGAAUAAAUUAUUUUCCGCGUGGAUAAGAUUUAUUCUUUAUUUUAUACUCCCUCCGUUUCUAAUUGUAAAUAGUUUUGCAUAAAAACACAAAUAUUUAAAAAGCUGUAAUUUGAAAAAAAUAUAUCAUUUAAUCAAUUAAUUCAACCAAUUAUAAAAAACCUAACAUUAUUUCAUUGGUCACACGGUAUCCAAUAAAUGAAAAGAUGUAUUGAAAUAUAUAAACUACUUAUAUUGUGAAACAAACUCUUUUUGCUAGAACUACUUACAUUUGGAAACAGAUGGAGUAUAAGCCAUAUGGUAUAUAAGAAACCCCUUUGUACUUAAAUGAAUAAUGAGUAUGAUUAUGUAAAGUCAGAAAUAGAUAAUCCAUCUUAGGACUAUGCAAAUAAACCGAACCCGAAAACUCGAUCCGAACCCGGCAUAAGUACCGAAUGGAUCUUGUUUUAUGGUAUUUCGGGUUAUGGGUAUUAUCCGAUCCAAACCCGAACCUAAAUGGAUACCCGAUAGAAUCCGAAACAUUCAAAAUUUCCAAAAAGAACUUAAGUAGCCUAGUGGAAAAAUACAUUGCCAUUUGACCAACCAACUUGGGUUCAAAUCCACGGGUCUACAUAUUUUUAAUUUCAAAUCAUGUAAAUCAUUUGAAAACGACGUCGUUUCACUUAACGCCAACAAUAAACGAUGUCAAAUAUUUCUGUUAAAUUUGUUGACGGCGUGCUAAAUUGGCAAGUCAGUGAAAACAUUGUUAAUUAAUUCUAAAGUCAAUGAAAGUUUGGUGUUUUUUUGGUCAGCCCAAAAGUUUAUGUUUCUUUUUGCAAUUCGUGCAAAGUUGAGGUUUUUUUUGGCCGAAUUCUCUAUAUCUAUUCCCAAAAAGUGAAUAAAUUAUUUUCCGCGUGGAUAAGAUUUAUUCUUUAUUUUAUACUCCCUCCGUUUCUAAUUGUAAAUAGUUUUGCAUAAAAACACAAAUAUUUAAAAAGCUGUAAUUUGAAAAAAAUAUAUCAUUUAAUCAAUUAAUUCAACCAAUUAUAAAAAACCUAACAUUAUUUCAUUGGUCACACGGUAUCCAAUAAAUGAAAAGAUGUAUUGAAAUAUAUAAACUACUUAUAUUGUGAAACAAACUCUUUUUGCUAGAACUACUUACAUUUGGAAACAGAUGGAGUAUAAGCCAUAUGGUAUAUAAGAAACCCCUUUGUACUUAAAUGAAUAAUGAGUAUGAUUAUGUAAAGUCAGAAAUAGAUAAUCCAUCUUAGGACUAUGCAAAUAAACCGAACCCGAAAACUCGAUCCGAACCCGGCAUAAGUACCGAAUGGAUCUUGUUUUAUGGUAUUUCGGGUUAUGGGUAUUAUCCGAUCCAAACCCGAACCUAAAUGGAUACCCGAUAGAAUCCGAAACAUUCAAAAUUUCCAAAAAGAACUUGUACCAAACAUGAUCUCAAUUCCUAAUAUGUGUUCAAAAUAUAUUGAACAUUUAAAAUAGUUAUCUAUUAUAUGAAGAUUGGUGGUUGAAGAUGGCGGUUGAAGGUUGAAGUUUUUAGAUUUUGGUUUUGUUUUCAUUGAAUAAUGUUUUUCAUUUCAUGAGAACUUGGUUUUCGUUUUAUGCUUUCAUUUAUUUGAUUUUCUUUUGAUCAAUAACUAUGUUUACCUUUCACUUGAUUUUGAAUGAUCACAUUUGAUGUUCCUUUUUUUUGAACCGAUUUUAUUUAUAUUUUGAUUACAAAAUAGGUACAAAUCAAGUAUUUUAAAACCGAAGAACUGAUUAUACUUACUUUUUGAUUACAAAGUAGAUAUAAAUCAGGUAAAUUUAAACCGAAGAACCGAUUGAGACCCGAACCCGAAAGUACAUCGAGUUGUACCGGUUCUUUGAAGAUUUACUAACCCCAACCCGAACUCGAUAGAACCCGAACCGGUCUUGAACCGAAUUUUCAUGUAACCCGAAUGGGGCUGAUUUUGAUAAACCCGAUUGGACUAAACCGAAACCCGAUUGGGAUCCCGAAUACCCAUGCCUAAUCCAUCUAUUUAAGCAGUCUCUACGUGAAAUGAAUGUUAUAGUUGCAACGGUCAUUGACUCAUUGCUAUUAUGCAAGGCCCGAGUCUAUGGAUCUGGGUCCUAGAACUAGAAGAUCUGCUUUCUACUUUUUGGUUCUGUUCUUCCUUGAAACGUUCAACGGUCAAAUUUUUCCACUUGCUAAGAGCCUAAGACCAAAACAGCUUGCAAAUUAAGACCUAAUAAACUUCUGCUCAUUCUAUUCACUCGUAAAACUUUGACCCACCACUUGCAAAAAAAUAGUAUAAAUAUGAUUUUCAUUAUUUUAUAAAACCCUCAGAAAACUAUAAUCUCCCAAAUCAAUCUUGGUUUUGUUGAGAUUGCUUCACAUAAGAUGGGUUUUACAUGGGGAAUGAGACUACGUGGAGCUAGCAAGAAGAAGAUAGCUCCGGUAAUGAGUUGGUCGGAAUCGACAUCGGAGCCGGAUAUAACGAUUCCGCCGGAGUUUCAAUGCCCGAUCUCAAUCGAUCUCAUGAAAGAUCCGGUGAUAAUCUCCACAGGCAUUACCUACGAUCGCACAAGCAUCGAAAAAUGGAUCGAUUCAGGGAACAACACGUGUCCUGUCACGAACACAGUCUUGACCACUUUCGAUCAGAUCCCGAACCACACGAUUCGCAAGAUGAUCCAAGGAUGGUGCGUGGAGAUAGGAUCGUCGUUGAUUGAGCGGAUCCCAACGCCACGUGUCCCUUUGAUGCCGUGUGAGGUCUACGAGAUCUGUAGAAAGUUAUCCUCUGCUACGCGGCGUGGGGAUUACGAGAAAUGCGAGGAGAUUAUUUGGAGGAUUAAGAAGUUGGAAAAAGAAAGCGAGAAAAAUAGAAAUUGUAUUAUUGAAAACGGCGUCGCAUUGGUUUUGUGUGAUUGUUUCGAGAAGUUCUCGGCAGACGAGAAAUCAACGUCCAUCUUGGGAAAGAUUUUAUCUCUGCUGACGUGGAUGGUUCCUAUUGGGUGGGAGGGUUUAACGACACUGGCGUCUGCGUCGUCGUUUCGUUGCAUCGCGGGUUUCUUGAGGAGCAAGGACGAUACCGUUCGUGAAAACGCUGCGUUUUUGUUGAAGGAGAUCCUAUCGUUGGAAGAAACGCAAGUUCACGCGUUUGCGGAGGAGAACGGAGUCGCGGCAGCGUUUCUUAAACUUAUUCGCGAUUCCGUUUCGUCUAGCUCAACGAGAUCUUCCUUGACAGCGGUUUCUCAAAUGGUCUUGGCAAAGCCCGAGAUCGCGUCUGAGUUUCUCGAAAUCGGUCUUGUGAAUCAAACGGUGGAGAUGAUCAUUGAUGGUGAGAAUAGCGUUUGCGAGAAAGCGUUGGCGGUUCUAGACGCGGUUUGCGAAACCAGCGAAGGGAUAGAGGAAGUGAGGAAAAACGCGUUGGUGAUGCCGCUUUUGGUGAAGAAGAUUCUUAAGGUCUCUGAACAAGGGACGUGGAGCUCAGUGUCUGCGAUUUUGAAGCUGUGUAAAGCAGGGAACGCGUCCACGGUUGAAGAAGCGGUGCGUUUGGGAGCGUUUCAGAAGAUGUUUUUGGUGUUACAGGUUCGGUAUGGAGAAGAGACCAAGGAGAAAGCGACGGAGUUGUUGAAGAUGAUGAACACACAGAUGAAACUGAUGAGCGAUGAUGUUGAUUCUUCAAUGGAGUUUAAGUAUCUCAAGAAGCCAUUUUGAAGUAGAUAAAUUGUAUAAAGACAACCACAUUCUUUGCAAAUCACAGAUAUGAUCAUUAUGAAAAUGAAGCAAAUGAUCAAUGAGAAUUUAUAUAAAAUCUAAAUAAUGUUUAAAAAAGCCUAAAUGAAUGGGAAGAGACUUGGACAACAAGAAUAACAAUUAAUUUUAUAUAAAAUUCAAAUGGAUGAAUUUGUGAAAUAACCAUUAUAGAAAAAAAAUUAAGAAUAUAAUCAUCUCUUGGUAAUUGUGUCAAUUGAUUACAUAAGUGGACAUUUUUUCCUUUCCAGCCAGCGCGUGAGCAUGAACACAACAAACCAGAUAAGAAAGACUAUUCUAUUUCUGAUGUGUAUAUAGAAUAGAUAAGCAAUGUCCACACAAAAUGUAGUGAAGAGAGAGGUUCGAAACAUUUUAUGUGUAGAAAAAAUCUAUGUUUUCAAUAUGUAAAAUACAAAGUUUAAUAAGUAUUGAGUAUGAGUUGAAAUCAAUUAAAAACAGAAGGGGAAAACAUAUUUGUAAGACAAAGAAAAAGAAAAAAAAAAGAAAAAAAUGUUCAAGCAAAUGUAGUAAGGGUAAUAUGUCAAUUAUUACACAAAUAUCAUAGUUUAAGAGUUGUUAUGUGUAGAAAAUUGAUUUUGGUGUUUGUUAUGUUAUGUGUUCAAAUUUUCCAAUCAAAAUAAUGGUUUAAAAAGAAGUAUUGUUGCCAAAUUUUAUCUUUCAUACAAAUUAGGAUUCAACUUAUAACUAUACAAAUUUUGAACGAGGAAUCGUUGGUACUGAUUAGCUUCAAGUGUGAUAAUUUGAGUUAAUGUGAUGGAUAAGCUAUCCAUAAGAAUUAGGUUAUGUUUUCUUCUAAUGUAUUUGUAGGUGAAUGUUUCCACUUCCACUUUCACUAAAUGAAAUUAUAAAUAUAAGUUCCUUUGGAAUCAUUGUGUACGAUUUGAUUCAGAAGUUGCUGGUGUAGGAUAAGACAGACCGUGCAUCGAAUGCCAAAGUAGCAUACAUUGCUCCACCUGCAGAUUUCAACUACGACUGCAAACACCUUGGGACUGAGUCUUAUAUGUGUAAUGCUUGUGGGUUGAUGGGAGAUAGAAGCCCUUCUAUGUGUGUUCAAUGAGAAUUCAUGAUCCAUCAAGGCUGUAUUGGCCUUCCUCAUGUUAUUAACAUCAAUCGCCAUGAUCACCGUGUUUCUCGUACGUCGGUUAUUGGUGUUGUUAAUUCUGUGUGUGGAGUUUGUCGCAAGAAGGUGGACUAGACUUGUGGUGGGUUUUCCUGUCGGAGGUGUCCUGGCUAUGUCGUUCAGGCAGCUGCUCUUGAUCUUGGUUCAUUCAACAGUCUGCUAAAUUCGUCUACUUGAUGGUAGCAAGCAAAUGUAUAAUAUAGUCUACUUGAUGGGAGCAAAUGUAUAAUACGAUGCAAAUGUUUUCUUACAUCAUACUUGGAUGCUUAUCUUGUUUUUUUCUUUUUUCUGUGAUGAAUAAGCACAGUAUUCGAGAAAAGCAUUCUGAUAUGUCCCUAAAUCCAAAAACAAAAAGCUUUGAUCUCCGUUAACCGAACAAACUAUACCAACAUUCAUACGAAGAAUAUCGCCCUCCGGCUCCGCUAGGACGGUCAUAAGGACUCGGUUCUUCCCUCAUUAUGUACGGGAUCAUAGCUCCACACCAAGGGGCAGACCCAGGUCGAAGAAAGGUGUGGCAUGGGCCCCACACCUUUUUUUAUUUUUCCUAGGGAAAUUUAACCAAAAUUUAUUUACAUACCCUUAGUUUAUAUAUCUAUUUCAAUAUGUGCUCCAUACUAAAUAUCACUCUAGAUCCGCCCCUGGACCACACCUAUCACUUUCACUUCUUACGUAUCUGUCCCUGUCAUAGCCUCUCUUUCCUACCAUAUUCAUCCUUAUGACGAUGAUUGUAAGAAACCGGUUAAUAUCUAAUAAAAAUUUGGGUUUAAUUCAGUUCCGUUAAAAAUUUGGUAAGAACUCAGUUUUUUUUUUUGAAUUUUCAGAUAAAUUAAAAUAUUCCAAAUAAAUAAAUAUUUUAGUAAUUUAAUUCUUUCGGGUAAUUUGGAUAUUUUGAGUUUUCUAAGUUUUUGGUGAGCAAAAGAGGAGAGGAAACCAUUUCCGUGAUAUUCACUUUAUUUUUAAAAAAAUUUAGCCCAAAUUUGAUGAAGUUUAAAAGUUUAAUGUCAUAGCUAAAUUUUUCUUCUUUCUAUUUUUAUGAUAUAUUUUUAUUUAUUUUUGAAACUUCUGUAGAAUUAAAUUAUAUUAUCUAUUUAUUUAAGUUAUUAUUUAUUGAGUAAUUUUUAUCAUAAUCAAAUUAUAUUAUAUUCUUGCACUGAAUUUUAAUUGUUUUAUUAUAUUUUGUGUCUCCGAACUGAUUUUUUCUAUAAAAAAUUAUUAUGUAUUAAAUUUGGUUAUGGUUUAUAUUUAUUCCACCUUUACAAAACUUGAGUAGUGUCACCAAAAGUUAAAUAUCAUAAACACAUUUUCCAUCAUUUGUUUUUAUUACAUUUUUUAUUUUUAUUUUUGAUGGUGUAGAUCUGGGCGUUCAGGUUUUUGUUCGGAUCCAGUUAAUUUUCGUUAGCGUUUGCAGUUAUAGUGAUAAAUAAAUAUAAAAUAUUUUUAAGAAUAUUUUAAAAUUUAAAUUAAAAGUUUAAAACUUAUUAUAAAUAAAAAUAUAUAUACAUUUAAUAUUUUAAAUUAAGUUCACAAAAAUAUCAUAAUUUAUUUUAUAAAAACUUUAAACCAAGAAUAUUUAUUAUAAUUUUUAAACAUUAAUUUAUAUAUACAUAUAUAAUUAUGCAUAUAUAUGUUAGUGAAAAAAGUUCUAAUAUAAAUUUUGAAAAUUAUUGAAAUGAUAACUUUCCCUCUAAAUUAAAUUAAAAUUAUUGAAUUUAUAACUUUCCCUCUAAAUUAAAUUAUAAUUAAAUAAACAAAAUAUUUUUUAUUAAUUAUAUUAUAUUAAUAAUUAUAAAAAUAUCAACACAUCAUGACACUAUAAAAAUAUCAAAACAUAAUAUUAUGAUAAAAUUUUAAAUUAUUAAUAUAAUUUAAUUAAUAACAAUAUUAUGUUUGGAUAUUUUUAUAGUGUCAGGAUGUGUUAAUGUUGGUAAUUUAUUAUUAAACCAUGCAGUAUCUCAUAAUUAAUUUUUAUAAUCAUUCCAGGGGAUGAUUGAUAAGUACUGUGUCUUUUAUUUUUUGGCUUUAGAAUAAUAACGGUAGAUUUUAUUGUUGUAGCUGUAAAUAAAUUAUUUCCAGAGCACUAAAUAUAAAUCUCUAGAAAAAUUGAUUUUCAAAACUAUUUUGUUUCCUAUUUUAGUUUUUAUGGCUGUAGCUUUAAAUUUUUUCUUAAAUCAUAAUUGGUAAACUAAUAUGGAUGUAAAAGAGAAAUGAACCGUGGAAAGCACUCAGAGCGAUAACCAAUCACCCUUGUAAAUACAUCAAUUUGUAACCGCUAUACUAGUCGUAUAAAUUAUUUAAUAACAUUAGAAACGCGUUCACUCAUUUUCGCAAAUUGCAACCGCAUCCGUGACUGGUGCAUCUCAACUAGUUAUAGGCCCUAAACCAAAUGAGACUUCUUUCCUAUAUAUAAUAAUACAAAAUAAAACACUUAUCAAAGCUUUCCAAAGUCCAAGAGCACAGUUUCGUACAAGCAACCAACUUUGCAUCUUGCAAUUGACCCAAAAAUGGAGAAUCUACUGGGUCUUCUGAGAAUUCAUGUGAAGAGAGGUGUGAAUCUUGCCAUUAGAGAUACCUCAAGCAGCGAUCCUUACAUCGUCUUUUCCUCAGGAAAACAGGUAAAAGAAUCGAUUUUUGUGUUUUGAGAUUUGACAGCGGACUAUUUGAUUUUUUUUUAUGUCAGAUCUCCAACAUAAUACACCAAGAACUGAGAUUUUAGAUUUUAAAUUAAAAAUAGCUUAGUUAAUAUUAAUGGUUUUUCAAAACUUUGUUAGUUUGUUUGAUCAAGUCAUAUUUGGAGAGUUUUAUCUAAUUUGUACAAGGUCGUUGAAUCUUGAUUCAGUAUAUAUGUAUGAAGAGGGGCGUUGUCUUAACCUAAUAUAAAAUAGAAAGGAAAACUGAAACCUGUGGUCAUAUCUUCUCUGCUAAAGCUUAGAUAUGUAAUUUAUUAUUUUCUAACAAGUUUAACUGGAGAAGAAGACUUUAUGAUCAUGUUCAUGUUAUUGUGGGUCCUUGUUAUAUAUCUCUUACAUAAUCACCAAAAACUGAGAUUUAAGGUUUUGAGUUCAUCAGGGUUUAGUUAUCAGUAAUUGGGUUGAUCCUAAAUCUUGUUAGUUUGUUUGAUCAUGGCAGAUUUGGAGAGUUUUAUCUAAAUUUUUGAAAUUUCCUUCAAUCUUGAUUUAGUAUAUAUGUAUGGAGAGUGUUGGUGUCUUAAUAUAAAUUAGAAAAGAAAAUUGAAACCUGUGGUGAUAACUUCUCUGCUAAAGCUGAGAUAUGUAAUUGACAUUUUUUCACAAAAGUUAAAUUGGAGAAGAAGAAUAUGAUCAUGUUCAUGUUUUAGUGGGUUCUUGUAUUCGCACAAAAAAAACGUGGGUUCUUGUACAGAUGAUCUAUUGAAUUAUGUAGGGAAUAUUGGUCCUUUUUUACACUAAUGCCACCAACCUCUCCUCUUGUGUCAACAUCAAUACUCUGUCUCCAGCACUAAAUAAUUGAGAUGAUGAUUUGUGAUAUUUUUCCUUUUCGAAAACAUUCGAUAGUUCUUGAUUCUUGAUAAUCUCUAGUUUUAAUGUUUUAUUUAUUUGAUACAGAAGCUUAAAACCCGUGUAAUCAAACAUAGUAUUAACCCAGAAUGGAACGACGAGCUAACUCUUUCCGUUACAGAUCCAAAUCUCACUGUUAAACUUGUAAGUCAUCCUUACGUUUUAUUUUACCAUGACCGUUAAAAGCUAGUUUUACUAGAGAAAUGAAACAAUUUUUUGUUAUGUGCAGACGAUUUACGACAAGGACUUGUUUUCGGCCGAUGAUAAGAUGGGAGAAGCACAGUUUAGCAUUGCUCCAUAUCUUGAAGCCAUUAAACUACACCAUAAACUUGAAGGAGGACUUCCCCACGGAACCAUAAUCAUGAAGGUACAACCGACCAGACAAAACUGUUUGUCUGAAGAGAGUCAUAUUUUGUUGAACCAAGGCAAGCUUGUGCAGAAUAUAUUCCUUAGACUCCAGCACGUGGAGUGUGGAGAGGUCGAGCUACAGCUCGAGUGGAUUGAUGUUACCGGUUCAAAGGGUUUUUAAGUCUAUCCGAUCCGAUCCUUAGUUCCUUAUGCAUACAUGGUUUAGAAAUUAGAACUACGGCGUUGUUCAAAACUGGUCAGUGAAAGGAUCUUAAACUGGUUAUGUAAUGAACUCUUUUGUGUUUUCUGUUAUAAUUUGAGUCCAGGAGCGUGCAAGUCCAUGAGGAAUAACUUAAUGCAACUUUAUCCGUAGCUUUCUAAAACAUUAGUUCUGAAAAACAAAAUAUUAAUAUUUUAAUUACAUGAUUAAGUUUUAAUAUAAAUCAAAUAAUUUAAUCAUUGGACGAGGACAAGACAUAUGGAUCGAGAGGUUCUAAAAAAAUUUCAACCAAAAACUAGUUAUCUUUCUUUCUUAAUUUUUUUUUUAAUUUUCUUUAAAUAUUAGAUAUUCAUUAACAUCUUUCUAUUGGACUUGACUGGUUUUCUUGAUACCACCCGCGUCCGCGAACGCAACUUUUACGGUUGUUGACGUUUUGCAACAAUUAAACCUUUUAAAUUCAAAAGCUGGUUCUAGCUAGCGUUUGUGGUUGUCAGCGGUUGCAAAAACAUAAUUUUUUUUUCUUUUUUUAAAAAUAAUAUAAAUACAAUAAAAAUAAAAUUUUUAAAUUGAAGUAAUAGAAAUACUAAAAUAUAUCUUUUAUAUUUUAAUUUAUAUUAUAAUUUUUUUAAAAAAAUAUCUUCUAUAAUUUUUUAAAAUUAUAAUUUUAUAAAUAUAAUUUGUAUAUUUAUUAUAAUAUUAUAUUUUAAUAUUUUUAUACUUAUAUAAAAUAUAAAUAUUGUUAAUUUAUUAUUUAACCGCUGUUGUAUUUGGUGAUUUACCAGUCAUAAAUAUCUCUUAAAACCACUUAAAACCGCAACCAUCCGCAUCUGCAAACUCCCGCAACCGCUACAGCUGUGGUUACACCAGUCAGACCCUAAAUAUAACAUUUCGAUCUCUACAUGAUAUGGGGGUCUUAAAACAAGAAGGUGUAAAAAAGAAUCUAUUGGUUUAUUGUGUGAUAAAUCAAAUUUAUACGUUUAUAUUGACUAUGUUUUUAAUAUUUUUUAACAAUUUAACUAUUCAACUAAAUAUCUAAAUAUUUAAAAUAAAUUAACUGAAAAGAUAUUCAUACUUAUUUUUCUUAUUCCGAUCUAAUAAAUUUUAAUAUCUCUUUUUAUGAAAAAUAUAAAUAUACAGUUUUUAAAAGUACUAAUACUUUGUAAAUAUAUAAAUAAUUUUUUAAUUAUUGUUAAAUAGCAAAUAUAUACUUGUGUCUUGGGGAAGUAGUUGGUAACGCUGUGUUUGUUUUUGAGUGUUAAUUGUGUCGUUUAAUUGAGUCAAAGUUAGUCGGGAACUAUGACAUUUUCUUGGAACUAAUCGUCUAAUUGACGCUUUAGUGACCAUUUUUUCAGUUAUUGAUUGAAGACAAUACAACUCAAUGGUUAAAAGGAUAAACAUUAUAAGAAAAAUGUAAACCAGACACUCAAUGGUUAUCCCCAUUAGUAUUUGUAUCUCAUGGAAGCAUGUCCAAUAAACUCAAUCAAUAGAAAAAUAAAAUGAUAUCAUGUAAAGUAGGGAUAAAUAAACUAAAUGAGGUGAGAAAAAGAGAAGAAAUAAACCAAAGUAAGAAUAUUGUGUGAUCAGAAACCUGAAUGGGUAAGAGUCCAUGUCUCUUGUGAUCGAUUUUCCUUCGAUGAGACUGCACUUUAAACUCUUUAAAUAAAGUCAAUAGUGGUGAAUUUAGAUAUCUCUUAUGAACUGUGGGCUGAAAUGGUUAGGUUGUUAAGUAGAGAUCGAAUACAUGGAAAUACCUUCUAAGGUUGGUACUAGUUGAUGUGGCUUACACUGAUUGAGGUAAAAAUGUUGUUCAGAAUAUAUGUGAGUGUCAUUUUUUCAAACUUCUUUUACCUGUUUAGUCUCAUGUUUUGCUUGAGGAUAAGCAAAAACUAAGUUUGGGGAGUUGAUAUAUAAUAUUUUAGUGGAUCAGAGUCUUUUUGGUAUUUUCAAGUAGCUUUGGGUCAUUACAGGUUCAUGUAAGUUGUGGACAAAAUUGAAAUUUUUGAAGCACUUUGGACCAUGAAGGAGAGUUGCAGCUGAAAAGAACAAGUCGAGAUUGCAUCUUUGGAGUUGGUGUUGGUCAACACCACACAUUUGUGUCGGUGAACACCCAUCAUAGACAACAGUUCUCUACGAGUUUUUAACAAGUUAAAAAAAUUUAAGACUGAUCAAAAGUUUAUGCUUAUUUGCAAAUAAGUUAUUUUGUGUUUUAGACAUAUUUAGUUUUUUUUUUAAGAGUUAUUGUAUGAGAAUUCAUACUGGGUGAGAGAUUUCUUAAUGUUUUUUAGAGACAAAUCAAAAUUCACAAAGAGAAGAUUUCGAACUUCUUUAUUUAUUUAUUUUUAAUGCAAUUUAUUCAAGUAAUGAUUUAUGUUUCAUUGAAUAUGUCUGAGUAGUCUAUUUGUUAGAUUUAGAGUUUUUCAAUGCUUAAGGAUGAAUUAUUCUAAUCUUCUAUUCUUCAUCUAGAUUGAACCUAAUGCUAGUUGUGGAUUGACAACCUAAAAUUUAGAUUUUAGGAUAAUUGGUAGAUAUAAAAGUGUUAUUGAUUUCCUGAUUUAAUAUUAGAAGAGGAAAAUACUUAUCUGCAAAGAAAUUUGGUUUAUGGAUUUUGUGAACUUAUCAAACAUGUAUUUAAUGCUUGUCUUAACUGUUAAAUUUGAAAAACAUUACAAUUCUAGGAUCUAGACAUAUAUAAUUUCUGCAACGAAAGUUGAUUAAUUUAAAUAUUGUGAUUUGAGUUCAAAAUUGUUCUUCAUAAACUCUUAGCAAAUUGUUUGAUCUGCAAUUCUGAUUUACAUGAGAAUAUCCUUAAGUCUAGCGUUUUUCCUAAUCUAACUUACAACCAUUUUUAUUUCUCUUUUAUUUGUAUAACAUUCUUCUUUGUUUAACUUAAUUCAAAAAUUGAUAUUUAUUGAGUGAUUUUGAGUCUCAGUGGAUUUGACCCUACAUACUACUAUUGCACCUAUAAAUUUUUAAAGUAGCUCAGACUAUAUUUGAGCAUAUCACAAUCGUAUCUAGUAUAGCCCUGUUCGUUUGGUUGCCGCAGGUUUCGGCGUCAGCGGCAGCGUCAGCGGCGGCGGCAGCGUCAAUGAGGACAGUUGUUGUUCAAUUACUAAACAAAAGAACAUCCCAAACGUUACACAAAUUGAACACAAACAACAUCCUCAAACACAUAAGAGUCACAGAACCGAAACACAAUUAACAUCUGGAGUUUUUACUAUCAAACCAGCUUGAAAUAUGCUUGCAAAUGUUUUUUUUUUCAAUCUCAAUUGUAUUAUUGACCUUAGUUGUACUAAUUGUAUCAGUUUUGUACUUGUUCCAAUUCUAUUAAUUGUUUCAGUUGCUGUUAUCUCAGUUGUCUCAAACAAUUAUAUCAAUUUUUAAGAAAGAGAAAUGAACUCUUUUUUUCGAAAUUGGAUCCUACUAAAUUUGAAUGUUCUCGUUAUUCAAAAAUUAUUCAUUUAAAUCAUUGUAUAACCGGGCAAAGGAUAUAAUUGUCUCUUCAUAAUUUCAUUUAGAAUUGUGGAGGUUAAUUGAGAUUUUCUUUACCACCUAUUUUGAUCCAAAAAAAUAAGAUACCUAAAAGAACAUAGAUUGGUCUUGAAAGAUAAGAUACACACAUUUUAACAACAAACGGUUCUUUUUCUUCUUAAAAGCUAAACAAUUCCAAUUUCCAAGGUAACUUGACAAUCAAUCGAUGGAACUUUUUCCAUUUCUCACCUUUCCGAACUAAUACUUCUCUUGACGUUCUUUGACAUCCUUAAGCUUCUCUAUCUUCGCAUUCUCGUUGUUAGACUUUAAGCUGGAUACUUUUUGAGCACUGUCCAUUUGAUGUGACUUCAGCUUCAUACCGAAUCCGAGUUUCUUAGAAACGUUUUCCCACGUUUUGCUGCCGCUUCCAAAAGCACCACCACCCUUUGUUGUCUUAUCGAGUUUCUCUAUCUCCUGUCUCAUUUUUGAACAUUCUUUCUCUAACUCGCAAACCCGCAUUCUCAUUUUGUCCAUUCCAACUUUCAGGUCUUGAUUCUCUCGUACUGCGGUUUCCCAUCCUCCUUUGGUUGAUUCUCCUGAAAAUCCGUCGCUUCCUAACUUUCUUGACCGGCCAACGAGGCUGCCUAAAACCGGGAGGUAUUCAGCAACAGAGGCCUUGAGCUGAAGCUGCUCAAUGAAGAGCACUUGGACUAUUAUUCUUAGAGGCAACCUCUCGUUCUGUGCUGCGUGUGUGCAAGCUUCCGUAGAGAGCUUUUGGCAGUCUAACAACCUACAAAGAUCCUCUCUUUCUUUUUCCGCUAACCACGGAUGAUGCUACAAUUCAUCAAAAGAUGAAAAACAAUUAAUAUGCCUCUAUUGAAAAAAUAAAAGUCACCUUAGCAAAAUUGGAACAAUACAGAGAAGAUUACCCAUGUGAAAUGAUGACACGCUCUAAUCAAGAUUUGGUAUGUUUUCAUUUAAAAAAAAAAAAUUGUUUAGUCCUACCUUUAGGUAAAUGUCUAUUGCACGAUAGAGCCCGUCAUCUAAGAGUCUGGCGUAAUCAGGAACCGAAGCGGCUAAAGCUUGGAACUUUGGAAGCUUGAGAUUGGCAUCAGGAGCCACUUCAGCAAGAUACCCAUCUAUCAGCUUCGCAACAGCUGUCAUUGACUGUGAGGAUUCGUUUAAAUUCCCGUCAUCUACUGAAGAACACGAGGAGCUAGCCCCUACGGGCAUAGUAUGAUCCCAACUAAGAAAGUGGUCCAGGAUCCUUUGCACAGAGUCAACGUCAUAUAAAGUCUCAACAGUAUGAGAAAAGCUAGGCAUUACAAGAUCUUCCAACGUCGCCUGGUCAAGCUGCCUCCCUAUCCGCUUCUCCAGAUUCUCUAUGCAACUCGGACUAGCUUUCAGAAUCUUGGCGAUUAUAAGCAUGUCUACGAAAAACUUGGUCGGAAGUAAACCUUUUUGCAUACAGGGAAGAUCAAGCUCCUGAAUCUCUUCAAGCAAGUGUUUCUGCUCUUCUUCAGACAAUACACUCCCCGUGCUCAAAGGUGUGAUGGAAGAACUACCACUGUGACGUCGUCGUUUUAAGACAGGCAAGUAUUUUCUGGUGUAAUAGGUUAGGGAACCGGCGACGAUUUCUUCUCUUAUUCCUCGGGAAUCCAUGAGUGUGAUAAGUCUCUUAAAAAGAGCAAAACUAACCAUCGAUGCGUCCUCGUACCACCAAUCUGAACUAGUGUCUUCACGUCUAGCCCCUGUGCUUAUCCCGUUCCAUAAAACGCUGCCACCUGGACUCUGCAUGGGCCCACCAUACUCCACGAACGAGUUUGGAUCUGCCAAUGCUCUCAUGGCUAAUGAUUCGAUGCAUUUCUUGGUAAUGUUGAAUUCAUCAGCGUACUUGAGGACCUCAUCGCAGCAUUGAAGGGCUUUUAUUGAAUAUUUCCAGCUUUUGAAGACGACUUGAUUGAAAAACUUUCCGGUUUGGGAAAUUAGGUUUCCUUCCCCAUACUCCUCUGUCAUUUCGAGAUGCUUAGCAGCGCAUCUGAGGCAUACAACGUUGGAGGCAGUGAGUUCGAGCUUCACACCAUAGCAGAACUUGGCGACCAGCUCAAAAGUUUUGUCUCCGCCAGGAAAAUCAGAAAUCUGAAUGAGACAUUUGUCAUCACCUUCUUUAGACGCCUCUGCAAUCCUUCUUUCCAUGACUCCACUUCUUGAGAGCAAGGGAAACUACACAAUAAAAACAACUAUAAGAAAUUGUAAAUAACAACAUCAUUCUUUCUCAGAGAGGAGGCUUUAAUAAAAUAAUAAUGUAAGAUAUUAGAUAUAGGUCUGAGAAAUUAUAGUGAUUUACUCAUCAACUUCUUAUAGUCAAGAUAUUAGUGUGUUUAGGUGUUAUGCUCUCUACACCAAAAAAAUGAAAGAAACAUCUUUUUUAAAACGAGCAUGAUAAGAAGAGACUUGGUUCCUUAGAAAAAUUACGUAUGUGAAAAGAUUCUAAAAUACCUGCAAAUCAAACCCUAAAAGCCAUAAUCAUUCCAGAUAAAGGUAAUAUAUCACUGUACUUCAACAAGAGAGAUUUGUUUUGGUCGAGUCAAAUUUACCUUGUGGAGAUGGAAAGACACCUCUCCAACUUCAAUGAUGAUAUCAGUUGGAAGUCCACUUGUGCGAAACCUGCAAUAAUUGGAAAAAACCCGAAGAAUACAAAAGUAGACGUCAUUCCAAGUCUGAGCCAUUAGAAGGAGAAAAUCAAGAAGACGCAAAAACACACUAUAAAGUGAAUAUACCAAUCCUGGCCUUGUCUUUUGAAUGAAUCUGAUUUUGAUCCCAGCUUCAUGCAUGCCAUACUUCCUGUCAACAUAAUUCAACAAAGAAAUAAGCUAUCCAAAACCCUAAAACAAAUCACUCCACAAAAAUCAAAACCCUAAAGCUUGUGAGAAAUAUUGGCUAAUAAGAGCACUAGAGUAUAAUGCAGGCAUGAAUAGCAAUUUUCAAGAAUCAGCCACGAACAAGAGUGAAGAAAUGCAAUGCAAGACAGAAAUUAUCAAAACCUGUGCUAGAAAUUAGAGAUUAUUUGAUAGAAUACCCCAAAUUAUGUUUGAAUUUAAAAUUACCCUCAAGUCUUUUAUAAGUUUGAAAUAUAGCUUACAUUUUAUUUUAAUGACAUUUACAUUCUCAACUAUAAAAGAAUGGAGCGUAUAAUUGAUCUAAACCAAACGUAUAUCAGAUGAAAAUAACAAUAAAAAUAAAAUGUUUAGAUUUUACAUCAGCUUGGCCGUUAAGUCUUUAUAUUAAAUGUUUAGAUUUUUAAACCAAAAUUUUCUGAAUUCAAUGUUUAGAUUCUUAACCAAAUGUUUUUGAACAAAAAAAAAAAGAUUCUUAACCAAAUGUAUGUUUUUCAUCUUUUCUGCACAAAACAUAUUUAAAUUCAGUCUUUACGAAACUCAAUGAUCACCAAUCUAAACUUUUCGAUAGGACGAUAUCAUGUAGAUGGUUCUAUCGAGGAUUGAAUCCUCGAAUUAAAGAAGUCCAUAACAAGUAACAACGAAAUGAUCCAGUGUUUGGCCUUAACAACCAAACUAAAUCAAUAAAGGUUGUCAAUGACAACAAGUUAUAUAAUAAGUCAGAGAGCUUCUUAAUCUUGAUUACAUAUAUAGAUCUAAUUAAGAGCAACAUUCAAGUCACCAAAUCAAUGUAAAAAGAAACAGAUCAACGCAGAAAAACAAAAUAAUAAGAUAACACAAGUCACCUCUUUCUUUCUGAAUCAGCAAUGUCAGCGUGCUCACAACGUUUUUUUGGAAGAGAAGAGGUGCAUUUAUAGUGUUUAAUCAAUAAAAAAUAGUCAAAAAAAAACAAAAUAAAUUCACGGUUCAUUUGCGAUUGGCCCCCUUACAUUUUUAAAUCAUAAUUAAAUCACCAGUACCAAUCCAUUUUACAACGGCUCGUUCUCUGUAUUCUUUGUCAAAACUCGGUAAGACAACAUAGGGAAUGUGUUGGAUCCUGUAUUGAUAUCAUGUAAAGAAAACUGGCAGUCUCCCAAUCUCGGAGACGAAUAAGGUUCUAAAGUAUACCCAAGGCAGGUUAAUAGAUGUGCGGCACAUGCCACCCAUAAUAGUAUUAGAAUUAGUAAUAACAAAUUCAUAAAAUCAUUAAAACUUUUUGGUAUGAGAUGGCAAAAAUCAAGCUGUGCACCCCUUAUAAUUCAUGUUCCAUGCCUACUGAACAUCAAAAACUGAACAUCAAAAUAAACAAAAAGAUGGUGGGAAGUUAAUUAAGCUGUUGCUGUGAUUACUUUAGCAAAGGUUUCCGGUGUCUUCUGCGACGCUGUAAAAAGUAGCGCACUUAGAAUGGUCGCUGCCAUUAUUUUUGAUAGGCAAAAACACUGCUGCCGGUGCUACUCUCUAGAUGCGUGAACAAGAAAACAGUUAUAUUCAAUGACGAACGUUCAUUAGUCUUUCCAUUGAAAGGGCAAUAAAAGCUUCUCAUAUAGAGCAGAUACUCGUCGUACAGUAUACCUUCUGGAUUUCAGAUUACUGUGUCUCUCACAUCACUGAUAAAUCUCCUCAAAGUCCUAAUAGCUCUUUGGUCUACACAUCAAGGAUCUACUUUGAUUAAUGAUCAUUUAUGUUGUAUUAUAUUCAUAAUUUCACAUAUUCGAAUCCUACAAAUAUAAACAUGUUACAUCACGUAUUCCUUUGAAUUUGCAACUGAAAAGGUAGAAGUAAGGCCCAUCAGAACAAUCUUAACAGUGAAGAAGUGAAAAUGAUCGACGUUGUUACACUUUUGCAAUCACUAAAGUUUUGUGUCAUCAUGAGUCAAAACAAAACUUCAAAGGAAAGCAGUCUAAAAUAUAAAUCGCCGUCACUAAACAGAUACAUUAAUAGAACUUUCUAGAUUCCUCUAUACAAACACAAUCCCUAAAAUACGAUCAUCAAGCGCCGCCGUUGUUCAUCAUCAGCUUAAACUCCUCGAAGUUAACGCAACCGUCACCAUCGGUAUCAACUUUGCUAAUCAUCUUCCUGCAAUCCUGAACCGAACACUUCUCCCCCAGAUUCUUCAUCACGGAGUGAAGCUCCUUCGCCGAGAUCCGCCCGUUCCCAUCCAGAUCGUACAGCUCGAACGCUUCCUUCAGAUCGUUUUUGCUGUUUCCUCCUCCUCCUUGGUUCACUCCGAUCUGGAAAAGAGAGACGAACUCGUCCAUGUCGAUGAAUCCGUUCCCGUCGAGAUCGAACUGUUUCAUCAUCUUCACCGUUUCCUCCGGCGACGCGUUGGGGCUGAGCGCGCGGAUCACUUCCUUGAGCUCGUCGACGGAGAUUUUCCCGUCUCCGUUUUUGUCGAAUCGCUGAAAGACUCGGCGGAUAUCGUCCAUCGAGCCUAAACAGCUGCGAGCUCCGUUGCUCUUCGACAUUUGCAACAGAUUGAGAAUCUGAUAGUAACGAAAGCGUGUGGUGGAGAAGAAGACGAUGGUGAUGGUUUGUUAUGAUUUAAGGAAUCUAUAAAUAAGGGAGAUGAGGGAGUGACGUAAUAACGCGUUUUUAAAACGCGUUAAGAUUGCGUGAGCUGGGGAGUGAAGCAACUAGCCAAGCAUAUUUUUUCCUUAACUAAAUGCAUUAAUUAUUCUUGCCAUUGUUAGAAGGGCAAAUCUCCAAAAUAGCACAUUUCUAAGUUUAUAUCACAAAAAUAGCACUCAAAAACUAAAAUGACCAAAAUAACACCUUUCUAAGUUUAUCCUUUGAAAAUUUUAAUUUUUUUAUUUUUCAAAAUUUGAAAUCUUAUCCCCAAAACCUCAUUUCUCAACUCUAAACCAUAAACCUUAAACCCUAAACUCUAAACCCUAAACCUAAACCCUAAACUUUAAACCCUAAACUCUAAACCCUAAACCCUAAACCCUAAAAUCUAAACCCUAAAUCCUAAACCCUAAAAUCUAAACCCUAAACCCUAAACUCUAAACCCUAAA
This 36273-nucleotide long non-coding RNA is filed under the name Brassica napus (rape). The record is from RNAcentral. Lineage: Eukaryota; Viridiplantae; Streptophyta; Magnoliopsida; Brassicales; Brassicaceae.